AAGCGCUUCUAUCGAUUGCUUACGCGUUCCAGAAACCAGGAAGUGACUUCUGGUUUACGGGCGCACAUGAGUUGGUUGAACAAAUUCAAAUGAAUCGUCUUGUUUAGUCGUAGCUACUUGUCUUCCGACAAACAGCUAUUCAAAAUGAACAUAUCAGAAAAUGGAGCAGUAGGCGAUGCCAUUACAGUGCACGAUUUCUCAGAGAAGAUUCUGGCGCAAACGGUUCACUUUCACGUCAUGAAACUCAAUGUUUUUUUUCUUCCUUUGGGUCGGCUCGAACCCCGUCUUGUCCAACAUGGCUGUUUCAAUGGAAAGUAAAUUUGAUUCGAUGCCGCUGUCUACCUUAGUCCUGGGGGACCCAUCUGAAACCACCUAGAAUUCACUGGCGCAGAGAUUGACUAAGAGGACUAAGAAACAGGUGUUUGUGAGCUACAAUCUGCGCAGGACCGACUCCAACCCGUCUCUGCUGGUGGAGAAUAGGAUAAAGAAGGAGAUGGAAGUUCACACUGAUACAUUUUUCUCUUUUCCCCCAUUUAUAUUGACUUUAUCCCGAAAUAAUACAAUGGAGAGAACAACAUUA
Molecule: long non-coding RNA, 580 nt
Organism: Salvelinus fontinalis (brook trout)
Lineage: Eukaryota; Metazoa; Chordata; Actinopteri; Salmoniformes; Salmonidae
Exons: 3
Source: RefSeq, a predicted model, not a curated record